This 73-nucleotide non-coding RNA is filed under the name Prevotella brunnea. Its description in RNAcentral is "L13-Bacteroidia ribosomal protein leader". It matches the Rfam family "L13-Bacteroidia ribosomal protein leader". The record is from RNAcentral. Lineage: Bacteria; Pseudomonadati; Bacteroidota; Bacteroidia; Bacteroidales; Prevotellaceae.
GGCGUUCUUAGAGCCCUCAGCGUGGGUGUGUUAAUAGUGAUGGCUUUUGGCCGAGCCGCACGGUUAGAGAAUC